UCCUUGGUAGUUCAAAGGUUAAAGCGUCUGCCUGCAAUGCGGGAGACCCAGGUUCGAUCCCUGGGUUGGGAA
This 72-nucleotide transfer RNA is filed under the name Ovis aries (sheep). It matches the Rfam family "tRNA". Rfam says of the family: Transfer RNA (tRNA) molecules are approximately 80 nucleotides in length. Their secondary structure includes four short double-helical elements and three loops (D, anti-codon, and T loops). Lineage: Eukaryota; Metazoa; Chordata; Mammalia; Artiodactyla; Bovidae. The record is from Rfam by way of RNAcentral.